GUGUUUUUAAUAUUCUGUUGGGAGCUGUCCAAAGCAGCAGGGGAAACCCAGCCAGAUGUACGGGGUAUAAAUAAUAAUAAUAAUAAUAAUAAUAAUAAUAAUAAUAAUAAUAAUUUAUUAUUUAUGCCCUGCCCAUCUGGCUGAGUUUCCCCAGCCACUCUGGGCAGCUCCUAUUCGAAUGUUAAAAACA
RNAcentral lists this microRNA precursor (190 nucleotides) under Podarcis lilfordi (Lilford's wall lizard). Lineage: Eukaryota; Metazoa; Chordata; Lepidosauria; Squamata; Lacertidae. The record is from RNAcentral.